CUCCCACCCACGUGAAUAUACGCUCCUCCCCCCCCUCCCAACAUGAAUAUUAAUUACUAACAUUUAAAUAUUCGUGAUUUUGAGAGUUAAAAAUGUUGGAUAUUUAUGAGCGGCGAGCCGGAUGUAGUUGUUCACGGGCGUCUUCGGGGAACAGGUCCCUGGCCCAGCGGGUCCCCCCCACACACCACCGCCGUCACGAGAGGGGAAACAAACCGCGAGCGCCACCGUCAAUUUGGUUCCGCGUUGCUCCGUCUCCUUUUUUUACACUUUCUAAGAAUUGCAUUGACGGCGAAUGAGGGGCGGAGUUUUUUUUGUGUGUGCGUUUCGCUCCACUCGGUUGUUUUCUAACAUUGCAGGCUGCUUUGAGGUUUAAACGCAGCUGUUCGUUCAAGCCUCGUUUACGAGUACUUUUUGCAGGGUGGUAAUACACGUCAACAUUUGUCGCGAGUUGCAUUUUGCCGAACAAAGAGCGCGACUCAAAAGCCCCACUUGUCCUCCUAUCCAACCGCACGAUUCCAGCACGGUAUAAUAAAAGGCCGUGUUAUUAGCUAUUUAACAUCUGUUAUUAGCUAUUUAACAUCUGUGUCGAUUCACACGGGGGAUCGAGCCGUUUCGUUGCCGGUACCUUGUGCCGAGGAGGAUACGAGGUAAUAAACAGCGUAACGUUACAUUUACAUAGCGUCUAACAUACAGAUGCAUCUCAAUUUCUCAACACACUAAAAAAAAAACUAUCCACCGUAAGUUAGUCGCUUGUCUAAAAGUGCUCGUUAGUCUUUAACCGGUGACACGUAAACACCUCCGAUUAAGCACCAUUGGCUACGUACUGUGCGAAAGAAGCUUAACAUACAAUACUGUUUUUUUCACUAGGUCCAUCAGCCCGUGGUCAUCAAUCCCUUCUGUGCCAUUCACAAGCAAUUACUUAACUCACCGAGUUUUCAAUUAAAAGUUGGGAAAUGAAAAAUAAACUUCACGCGAACUAUAAACACAAUUUACCUCAAGCCCCGUUUAUAAUUCCCAGCACGCACAAGCGCCACACCGCAUUCCCUCGCCCCAUUGGCUCGACGCCAACGACAGGGCGGCGCCAAGCCCGCGACAGCGGCGCCUCUGAUUCGCCGACGCGCGAAAGCAGUGGCGGGGCCGCCCUAAGCGCACUACGAUUUACAAUUGGCCGUCAACGUCGCCGCUUUGCCUAGUCGUCGAGUAGUCGCGAUCGAUUAUAUUAUCAAUUAACCACAAAUCGGCCCUUUUCAUUUAGACUAAGCUAUUCAAACGAAUGCUUAUUGUCCUCGCGCAGCAUUAGUUAACGCGGGCGGCGCGUGCCGCGUUUGUUUCGUGUGAAGUCCGCUCGUGGAAGGGAGGGAAAUUGGUCUCUCUCUGGCGCCGAAUUAAAAGAUCGCCACUUUUGGUUCGUCGAUACAUCGCCGUGGUUGGCCAUCAGUCGUCUCUGAAUACUUUACAAUACGUAAAUAACUACAGGUAGCGGCGCUCGCACGCACGCACACAUCCGUCUCAAAGGAACACGUACCGGUGGCGACGUUUCGGGCAAGGGCCCUUUGUCUACCGAAGAAAGGGGCCAUUGUGAGUGUUGUUACUUCUCGUGGGUGACGUGGAGAUGGCUUUAGGUGACAACGGAAAAUCCAGGUUCACGAGAUCAAGUUGUCACUUGAUGGAGAUCCAUCGACAUGCUAUGAAGCAACAUUGCCCGAAACGUCGUUUAUUCGAGGCGUAAUGGAUUGUAAGAGGCUGCCUCAUUGGUGACGGGCAUCAGGUCGCGCUGAGGCUGCCCUGUUACUCAGUGGUGCUGCCCUGACUGCCAUGGUUGUCUGAAGCUUGUUUUUGUCAUUGGUUCUGGCCCCUGAGUGUCAUUGCUCUCUCUCUCUCACUCCUCCUUUCCAUGUUUUCCCUGCCAUUACACCCCCUCCCCCACCUUCCUCACUCAUGUAAAGCUUCUUGAAAUGCAGUUCCAUAUAGACAAUAUAAAUGUAAAUUGUUUUUGUUCUGUACUGUGUCAAUAUUCGUUUGUUUGCAAACAGUCUACAGUAGGUGGUAUGUGAGAUACCAUAUUAACAAUAUGAAAAGGUGUAAGGUCCAUUGCUUUGACUGUAUAAUAAAUAACUAUUACUGGUAACCAAGGAUAUUAAAUUGCUUAAAUGUAAACCAUGUAAUCUGCUAAUCGUGUUGAAGUUGGGGAGGAUGAAAGAUGAAUGAAAGGUUGCUGUAUGGUGGGUGAAUGGGCCAAGAGAGAGAGAGAGAUGUUCCUUCUGCCCAACCCUCAACCCUAAGAAUAGAUAAUGCUGUACACAAUGUUUUUAUUGCAGAUGUGCAUCCUGACCAACCAUUUCAAUGCACCCACAUAUUUAAAGAGAAUGAAAGCUCUGCACAACCCAACGACUUAAAGUAUAUUUGAAAAACAUGCAGUAUUUAACGUGAUGCGACUACAUUUAAUUUGUUGAAUUAUCUUAUCGUUUUCAAAUGCAUAUUAUUGAGACUUUGUGGAACGACAUAUCCUUGGGAUAUCAGGUAUAUUUACAUAAUAUAAUUUGGAAUGCAGUAAUGCGACAUAGUUCGCAUUAUGUGGUUUGAGAACGUUCUGUAUAAACAUAUUUUAAAAGGCUGCAUCAUGUAUUGCCAUUACUUGACCACAUGUACAGUUGAAGUGUAUCUUUUCACAUCACUUUAUGAUAUGAUACUUUAGAUUGGUUGCAACAUUUGUUCAAUAUUUAAUCACUGAUCAUUUAGGUUUUGUUUCAAUAAAUGUAUGCUUGCCAAUUUAUUUAAUAUCAAAAGUGACAAAUAUUUAGUUUAGAACUUCAUAGUAACUUUAAAACAGAAACAUUCCUCUGAAAGAACUCCCUUAGCGUAAACCUAUCAAUGCAUGGUGAAUUUUAUAAGCAAAACUUUUUUUAAACACAAAUCUAAUCAAUAAAAAAACAUGAUUUUUUUUAUGAUGCUAAGUGUUAAACUGACAUUCAUAUUGCUUUUAAGCCAUAGUGCGAUACAAAAAUAAAAUGUAAUGUGAAUAAAUCCAUAUCGAGUACAGUAAGCGCAAGAAACUCAGAUAACUUUUUUUUAACCCCCUCUUGUCACUUAACCACCUCUCCUAACCCUUCCUCCACAACUUCUUUGCCAACCUACCCGGCUGAAAUAUCUUUCUCUCCAUUUCACCACACAUUACGGCACGCACAUUGUGUAACAAUAAGUGGUUUUGAAGGUGGUGCCCCAAAAGGGCAUCUUGUGAUAUGCAGACAGGUGUUACAGACACUUGGCAUAGUCAAGUGAAAGUGUCUCUUCAAAUGAACAAAGGAGUGGCUCUCUUCUCUGUUGGUGGUCUUGAAUCAAUAGCAGUAAUUCCACAUUCCCAUGGUGAGAGCCAGUGUUUCAAUAGGACAACCACUUUUGACUUUCCACCAAGUAGUCCUAAUUGUAUUGGCCAGAAUUGGUUAUUUGGGCGCACAGUGGUUAAACUUGUGCCUCGUAGGAAGAAGUGACUGAGUUUGAUUCCAGAUUCGGUAACUUUUUUUGUGUGGCGUUUAUAUGUCCUCUCCCUGUUCCACAUGGGUUUCCUACAGGUUCUCUGGUUUUCUGACAAAGCUAUACAAACAUACGCUGCAACUGGUUAUUCCUCAAAUUCCAUUGCUGAAAAAAUAUCCGGGAUCUCACAAAGCAACAUUGCUCACUACUGCACAAACUUGGAAGGACCCUGCUGAAACUAAUCAUGAGACCUAGUAGGGAUUCCUUGUUAAACAUAUAAUUCAUUGGUGUGAUUUAUUCAAUUGUAAGUUACAACUAUUAGUACAAUGAUUUUAACACAACUAUUGCAUUGUAUUUAUCAUUUUAUCAUAGGCAACUUUACCACCAUGACAAUAAAAAAUAUUAUACACUGAUGCGUGUAGUAAUACACAGUUUUAUACCUGUAUAAAGUAACGGGCUACUGUUUCAGAUAUUGGUCCUUUUUCAGAGCAUUGCUAUAACUUUGUUAGCAUGUACUUCAGCCUCAGUGACAAAAAUCGUUGACAUUUUACUCUAUGCCAUCACACCUGACUGGAAACAGAGGUGUAAACAAAGCAAUGCGUGGUGUUAUGAGCAAGAAGACAGCCAUGUGUUGAUCAGCACAUUGUCCUGACGCAAUUGGUUUUCAGCUUUGACAAGCAAAAUGUAAUCAUGGAUGACAUCCCAAAGUCAUUCCUCAUGCAUCUUGUCACCGCUGACUUUUCUGACCCCAUCCUUGGUGGGCGUGGGUCAUGCGACCAGAGUCAAAGGUCAUGGUAAAAGUGCUCUUUAGAGGGAAGACUAGGCAGACUGGCUGUUGCCUGCGGGGAAUAAAGAAACGAGUGCUGAUUGCCAGGAUAAAUAAACAGCACUUUUCGUCUUUCAAAUUCUGGACAUUGUACUGUAUUUGAUCAAUGUAAAGCUUAAAAUAUGCAACAAAUAUCCUUACUACAAUGUUAAAUAAAAAAAAGAAAUCCUGAUGAGCCUACUUACAAUUCUUCUCAAAAUGUUACAUUAUUAUGAAGAUUGUGUAUAUUUAUACUAAACUGGGUAAGACUUGUAAUCCUUUUUUUAUCACGAUUUUUCAAACAUUACUUCAAAAUUAGUUUUUUAGUGAGUUAAUUUAAAUAAUGUAAUUGUCAGCAUGCAGACUUCGAAGGGUUGGGUAAAAAAAAAAAGUUCAUUCAAAGCAUGUCGGUGUCUGCUGUACUUGCCACAAGCAUUCAACUCAUUUAAGCAACAGAUAAUUUUCUUUUCGCAUUCUGCCAGUGGCUCGAGAGGCCAUCUUGGGGCAAGCAGUUUACGAGGCAACUUCAUGAUGAUGAAAACACACAGUGCUAUAUCCAGCCACUUUGACACUCAGAGUCAAAUAAUAAGCACGUGUUAUGAAGUCAAUUGAUCCCAAGCCUGGAAAUGAGGAUGUAAAGUCAUUAUUAUAUAUGUUUAACUGGGAUUGUUUGGAAUCUUGGACCAACAUCCUUGGUCUGGUUAAGUCGAGUAUUAACCAUGCUGCCAAUGUUCCAUUUUAUUUGAGUAUAAUUAAACUAAAACGUUUCCUAAGCAAAGUGCAGCAUUUUAACAUUGUUAUUUUAUAUAUAAAAAACCCACCUGGCACAUAAUUUUUGCCAAGGCCAGCAUUAUAUUGUACAUUUGUUUGUCAUUUGAUUAAUCAGCAAAAAAAAAACCCUUAUCAUGGUUCUGGCAGACACGGCCAACAUCACAUUGCCUUUGUCUCCCCGCGAAUGAGUGAGAGCAACCUGACCUCCGUGCUAUGUUGGCCGAUGUCACGGCAGCGAUCAAGCACAAAGCAAGGCUGAUUGUUUACUCGCAGGCAGUGAGGAAUGAAAAUAAACGUGCCUUUGCUGGGACUUGUCACUUUAUCAGCGGGGGCACUGCUGCUGAUGUCCACUGCUGUAGUUCCCACUAUUUGCCUGUGAUGUGUGUGUGUACUUGGAAGAUGUAUUAACUUGACUGACUGCCUUACUACAAGGUCAAUGCUUGGAGCCAGUUACUCUGGAAGUGAUCGGUCAGAGCAGCUGCGUCUCUUAUGAGAUGAUAGUCCUGGGUGGUUAUUCCGUGUUUUUUUUGUGAUUAGAAAAAAACAUUCAAUUUCAGCGUGGCUCUUUAAUUCCAAGCUCACUGAGUCAUUUCCAAUUCAAACUGUCAGCUCAGCAAC
Molecule: non-coding RNA, 5665 nt
Organism: Petromyzon marinus (sea lamprey)
Lineage: Eukaryota; Metazoa; Chordata; Hyperoartia; Petromyzontiformes; Petromyzontidae
Source: RefSeq, a predicted model, not a curated record